This 72-nucleotide transfer RNA is filed under the name Sus scrofa (pig). It matches the Rfam family "tRNA". From Rfam's summary of the family: Transfer RNA (tRNA) molecules are approximately 80 nucleotides in length. Their secondary structure includes four short double-helical elements and three loops (D, anti-codon, and T loops). The record is from Rfam by way of RNAcentral. Lineage: Eukaryota; Metazoa; Chordata; Mammalia; Artiodactyla; Suidae.
UCCCUGGUGGCCGAGUGGUUAAGGAUCCACACUGUCACUGCUGUGGCUCAGGUUCAGUCCCUGGCUUGGGAC